AUUGAACGCUGGCGGCAUGCCUAACACAUGCAAGUAGGGCGACCGGCGGACGGGUGAGUAAUGUAUAGGGAUCUGCAUGCUAGAGGGGGAUAACUACUGGAAACGGUAGCUAAUACCGCAUCCCAUCAGAUGAUCCCAUAUGGGAUUAGCUGGUAGGUGUGGGAACGGCUCACCUGGGCGACGAUCCCUAGCUGGUCUGACAGGAUGAUCAGCCACACUGGGACUGAGACACGGCCCAGACUCCUACGGGAGGCAGCAGUGGGGAAUAUUGCACAAUGGGCGCAAGCCUGAUGCAGCCAUGCCGCGUGUAUGAAGAAGGCCUUCGGGUUGUAAAGUACUUUCAGUCGGGAGGCGUUACCGACAGAAGAAGCACCGGCUAACUCCGUGCCAGCCGCCGCGGUAAUUC
Molecule: ribosomal RNA, 406 nt
Filed under: uncultured bacterium
Lineage: Bacteria
Description: partial 16S ribosomal RNA
Rfam family: Bacterial small subunit ribosomal RNA
Source: RNAcentral